UGGCGGCCGAGUGCUGUGCUCUGUGUGUC
Molecule: non-coding RNA, 29 nt
Filed under: Homo sapiens (human)
Lineage: Eukaryota; Metazoa; Chordata; Mammalia; Primates; Hominidae
Source: RNAcentral